This 494-nucleotide ribosomal RNA is filed under the name uncultured bacterium. RNAcentral's name for it is "partial 16S ribosomal RNA". It matches the Rfam family "Bacterial small subunit ribosomal RNA", at positions 28 to 507 of the family's 1533-position model. The record is from RNAcentral.
GACGAACGCUGGCGGCGUGCUUAACACAUGCAAGUCGAACGGUGAAGCGCCUUCCUUUUUGGUGGGUGUGGAUGAGUGGCGAACGGGUGAGUAACACGUGAGUAACCUGCCCCCUUCUUCUGGAUAACCGCAUGAAAGUGUGGCUAAUACGGGAUAUUCUGGGUCUGUCGCAUGAUGGGUCUGGGAAAGAUAUUGUUUCGGUGGGGGAUGGGCUCGCGGCCUAUCAGCUUGUUGGUGGGGUGAUGGCCUACCAAGGCGGUGACGGGUAGCCGGCCUGAGAGGGUGGACGGUCACACUGGGACGGCGCCACGGCCCAGACUCCUACGGGAGGCAGCAGUGGGGAAUAUUGCACAAUGGGCGCAAGCCUGAUGCAGCGACGCCGCGUGAGGGAUGGAGGCCUUCGGGUUGUGAACCUCUUUCGCCAGUGAAGCAGGCCUGCCUCGUUUGUGGGUGGGUUGACGGUAGCUGGAUAAGAAGCGCCGGCUAACUACGUG